Molecule: ribosomal RNA, 258 nt
Filed under: Triticum aestivum (bread wheat)
Lineage: Eukaryota; Viridiplantae; Streptophyta; Magnoliopsida; Poales; Poaceae
Description: partial small subunit ribosomal RNA
Source: RNAcentral
AUGCCGGCGGGGGCGUUCUGCUCCGAGCCCGACCACGUCGAGGACGACGACGCCGCCACGCCGCCGGAGCACCUGCGCGCCUUCGAGGCGUUCCUGGAGGAGGUCGUGCCGGUGGGCAUGAUCAUGGCGUCGCGGCGGGAGGAGGAAGCGCGUCUCCGUCGUGGCGGGAAGCCGCGGAGCUACGACGACGACGUGAAGGAGAAGCUCAAGCUGUGGGCCAGGGCAGUGGCCAGGGAGACCACGGGAGGAAGGAGAUGA